RNAcentral lists this ribosomal RNA (440 nucleotides) under uncultured bacterium. RNAcentral's name for it is "partial 16S ribosomal RNA". It matches the Rfam family "Bacterial small subunit ribosomal RNA", at positions 338 to 795 of the family's 1533-position model. The record is from RNAcentral.
CCUACGGGAGGCAGCAGUGGGGGAUAUUGCACAAUGGGGGGAACCCUGAUGCAGCGACGCCGCGUGGGUGAAGAAGCGCCUCGGCGCGUAAAGCUCUGUCAGCAGGGAAGAAAAUGACGGUACCUGAAGUAGAAGCCCCGGCCAACUACGUGCCAGACGCCGCGGUAAAACGGAGGGGGCAAGCGUUAUCCGGAUUUACUGGGUGUAAGGGGGGCGCAGACGGCGAUGCAAGCCAGGAGUGAAAGCCCGGGGCCCAACCCCGGGACUGCUCUUGGAACUGCGUGGCUGGAGUGCAGGAGGGGCAGGCGGAAUUCCUGGUGUAGCGGUGAAAUGCGUAGAUAUCAGGAGGAACACCAGUGGCGAAGGCGGCCUGCUGGACUGCAACUGACGUUGAGGCCCGAAAGCGUGGGGAGCAAACAGGAUUAGAUACCCGUGUAGUC